UAAUGCCCUUAUCUCGUUCAAGAAUUCCUUUUGACAUGUCCUCUCGCUGUCACGAUAAUGGUGGAGCUUCUUCACCGCUACUGUGCUUCCUGAUGGCAAAUUUGCUUUGUAGACGCUGCCAUAUCCUCCCUUCCCAAUGCAAUAUACAACAUUAAAACUAUCGGUGGAUUUUAUGAUUUCGUCAUGCAUGAUUCUUCCAUCAGAACUCGAAAUUGAAAAUGAUUCUUCAUCCCCUUGAUCACUUUGUUCUGUUUUUGGAUCUUCAUUUCUUUUUCGACAGAAGAAGAAAACUCCCAAGAAACUGAGAAGCGAAAAAGCUCCGCAAAUAGGGAGGAAAAUUAUUAGAAACAACAUUUUAUGGCUCCUACUGGAGGUAGUACGUUUGUUGGUCCAAGAAUUGCAUGGUGUGAGUCCUGGGACAUCCCCACACAAUCCCUUGUUCCCUUGAAAUGCUUCCAUGGAAGCAUUUUGAAAUGCUUUGUUGGAAGGAAUG
RNAcentral lists this unclassified non-coding RNA (493 nucleotides) under Hevea brasiliensis (rubber tree). The record is from RNAcentral. Lineage: Eukaryota; Viridiplantae; Streptophyta; Magnoliopsida; Malpighiales; Euphorbiaceae.